Molecule: long non-coding RNA, 488 nt
Filed under: Medicago truncatula (barrel medic)
Lineage: Eukaryota; Viridiplantae; Streptophyta; Magnoliopsida; Fabales; Fabaceae
Description: lncRNA gene12790
Source: RNAcentral
UCACUGAAUCUAGAUUGGGGAAGGAGGUAGGCCCUCCGACUUCCUACGUGAAGGUGAUUGUUAUCUUGAGAAAAACUUUAAAAAGCAUUGUUGAAACUAGAUUGGGGAAGGAGGUAGGCCCUCCGACUUCCUACGUGAAGACGAUGUUUUAAGGAAUAUCAUUGAAUCUAGAUUGGGGAAGGGGGUAGGCCCUCUGACCUCCUACGUGAAAAUGUUGCUCCUUAAAUAAAGAACUUAAAAUGUGCAUAUGGCAAAAGAACAAAGAUUCUCAAAAACUCCCAUCUCUCUUAUAUGAAUUGUAGAAGGAAUUUUUCUUGGAGCAAGAAAAGGGUUGGACUUCACACACACACUCACUUGAAACUUGAUUGCUGGGUAGAAUAAAGAUUUCAAGAAAUACUUGAGUUUGUGAUUAGUGUACAUUUUGGGAUUUAAGCCCUUGAGGAGACAUGUGCUUUAAUUAAUUGUCAUUUGAUUUAAACUAUUGAUGC